CCUACGGGUGGCAGCAGUGGGGAAUUUUGCGCAAUGGGCGAAAGCCUGACGCAGCAACGCCGCGUGAGUGAUGAAGGCCUUCGGGUCGUAAAGCUCUGUCAGAGGGGAAGAACCACCUGAAGGUUAAUAUCCUUCAGGCCUGACGGUACCCUCAAAGGAAGCACCGGCUAACUCCGUGCCAGCAGCCGCGGUAAUACGGAGGGUGCAAGCGUUGUUCGGAAUUAUUGGGCGUAAAGCGCGUGUAGGCGGUCUGUUAAGUCUGAUGUGAAAGCCCCGGGCUCAACCCGGGAAGUGCAUUGGAAACUGGCCGACUUGAGUACGGGAGAGGGUAGUGGAAUUCCGAGUGUAGGGGUGAAAUCCGUAGAUAUUCGGAGGAACACCGGUGGCGAAGGCGGCUACCUGGACCGAUACUGACGCUGAGACGCGAAAGCGUGGGGA
Molecule: ribosomal RNA, 438 nt
Filed under: uncultured Pelobacter sp.
Lineage: Bacteria; Pseudomonadati; Thermodesulfobacteriota; Desulfuromonadia; Desulfuromonadales; Desulfuromonadaceae
Description: bacterial SSU rRNA
Rfam family: Bacterial small subunit ribosomal RNA
Source: RNAcentral